This 3669-nucleotide long non-coding RNA is filed under the name Sus scrofa (pig). Its description in RNAcentral is "lncRNA (ENSSSCG00055026579.1)". Lineage: Eukaryota; Metazoa; Chordata; Mammalia; Artiodactyla; Suidae. The record is from RNAcentral.
UUUUUUUUUUUUUUCUUUUUACAGUGGCACCUGUGGCAUAUGGUAGUUCUCAGGAUAGGAACUGAAUCAGAAUGACAGCCAUGGCAACACCACAUCUGAGCUGCAUCUGUGACCUAUGCCACACCUUACAGCAAUUCUGGAUCCUUAACCCUCUAAGCCAUGCCAGGGGUUGAACCCACAUCCUCAAAGAGAUAAUGUUUCAUCCUUAACCUCCUAGGUCACAAAAAGAACUCCUUUUUUCGUUUGUUCAGGUUUUUGUUGCAGUAUUUGAUUUAUAACCUUGUGAUAAUCUCUACUGCACAACAAAGUGAUUCCAUUUUACCUACACCCUCAUCCAUUCUUUUUUAGAUUCUUUUCCCAUAUACGUAAUCACAGAAUAUUGAGGAGAGGUCCCUGUGCUUCCCAGCAGGUCCCCAUUGACCAUCCAUCCGUUCCUUAUAUAAUAGUGUGUAUAUACUAAUCCCAAUAAACUUUUGUUACCAAAGGGGAAAGGUCAGGGUAAGGGAAGGAUUGGGGUUUGGACCCAUAGUUUUAAAAAGGAAUGCAACAAAUUUAAUUGUAUACACAUAUGUUUCUUAAAACAUACUUGUCUAUACAUAAACAUCUAAAUAUAGUGCAUUCUUUUAUGAAAUAGCAAAUGGUUAAAUAAAUUAAAUCAUUAAGAAAUCUUUAACUUAGAGAACUUGAUACCCUUCAUAACUGCAGUGAAAAUUAAAGGACAUAGAAAGGGUCAGGGUGCUCUGUGCCUUGCAUUAUUAGCUAUAAAACCAAAUUUUGCAUUUUUAUAGGGUUGCAUCUAUAUAGCUAUAUCAAAAAAAAUAUAUUAUCAGAAUAUUUCUUCUCAAGAUGCAAUCUAGGACUUGAAUCCAGGGAUCCAAAUGCCCAUGAUCUUUUCACUGUGAGACAUUCCAAAAGGUAGAAAUAUAAAAAUAAUGAUAACCUAUACUCUAUUACAAAACUCAGACCACAAACUUAUAGGAUCAAUGAAAAUAUACAAGUAGUACCAAGUAUUUAUCAGGAGUAUAGAUUAGGGUCUGAAUUCAAACAAAUAAAUAGCCAGUGCUUCAGUAAAUGUAUAAACGUAUUUCUACUUGAUGUUGUUUUAAUGCUUCAGUAAAUGUAUAAACAUAUUUCUACUUUAUGUUGUUUUACACUAUUACCCAAUAUUCAGUAAAACAUUAUUUUUGAGUGGUGGACAUGUAAAUGAAAAAUACAGUCUGCCCUAUCAGUAAACAAAGGAUGUUGCAACUGUCAAUCUACCACAUUUAUAGCCACCCUAACAGUGAGCCCUGGAUGGAAACAGGAUGCCAGCCAAAUCAUCAGACAACAGAAGUACCCCUCCCCUCCCCUCUCCUGGACAGGGCCCCUUGAGGAGACAAAGGAUUAAAAAGCACAGGAUACUGGCCCCAGAGAGCUGAAGUGCAUGGGAAAGGAAUGAUUUCAGUGAGCCCAGACUCUUGCAUCUUCCAAUCAUAGAAAAAGCACUAAAUUCCUUAACUUGAGAUAUCUGGUUUUAAUUAACAGCAAAACUCCUGUAUAUCCUGGCUCCCCCACUUGUCACUUUGGAGCAGUCUCUCAGAGUUAUCUGAGAUACUAUGUCCUGGGCUUAAGUGCUCAGUUUUGUCUACUGAAUAAAACAACAUAACUCUCAGUUUUUAUGUUGUACAUUUUUUUUUUCAGUUGAUGGAGACUACCAAAUUGUAUAUAUAUAUCAAUAUAUAAUAGGAGUAUUAGUUUAAAAAAUAAUUUAAAAAAUGAACAUGUGUAUAUGUACUUAUAUCACUAUUUUGCUAUGUUAGUCAAAAGCCAUAUUCAAUACCACAGUAUUAAACUAUCACAUUUAGAAUGGAUGGGCAACAGAGUCCUGCUGUAAAGCACAGGAACUCUGUCCAAUCUCUUGGGGAUAGAACAUGAUGAGGGAUGAUGUGAGAAGGGGAGUGUGUAUUUAUGUGUGGCUAGGUCACUUUGCUGUACAGCAGAAAUUGGUACAAUCCCAUAAAUCAAUUACACUUUAAUUUAAAAAAGGAUUCUCUAAAAAAUAUCAUGACAUUAACCUCUUUGUGCCUGUAGUCCAAUUUAUAACCCCAGAUUAUUCAUCAGAAGUAAUCAAGCUAGAAUGAUAACAGCAUCUUCUGGGUCCCUAUGUGAUCUUAAUUACUUCCUUGAGCCUUCCAGUCUUUGGAUUUGAACUGCUUUGAACCAUUAGUAUAACCCUCCUUAAUUAAUGGGAUUCUUUGAAGCCAGUAGCGUCUACACCUAAGUUUUAGAUUGCAAUUUUUAGUCUCAUGUUUCCUUCUUCUGCAUUAUUCUUUACUUGAGCAAUCUGCAGUGUCACCUGAUGCACCAGAAUAAUCACACUAGGAUAUUAUGAGCCCAUGUUAUAUAAUCUUAUAUCAGAUGUGAAGCUCUACUGAUUUUAUACAUAUUUAUGGGGAAAAGAAAAUAAAGCAAUAAAUAUUUAUUUAAUAGGUCUGAAAAAAAUCUUAUCCCACAUAUUUAACUUGAAUAGAAUCAUGCCAUAGAUUUAACUUAUAGGCCAUUAAGAGACAUUAAAGGGAUAGAGGAACAAGUGAAAUGACACCAAGAAGAAAUAAUCAUAUGAACUUAGAAGAUAAAAGAUAACUAAUACGAUCUCAAGAGUAAAGAGAAAAAGAAAAAAGGAAGACUUUUCCAGAUUAAUAAAGUCACUACAUAACUAAACGCAAUGUAUAAUUUAUUAGAUCCUAGUUCAAACAAACCAAGAGUAAAAUAGAUUGUGAACAUAGCUAGAGGGAACUGAACAUGGAUAGGGCAUUAGAUGAUGUUGAAAUUUUAUUGCUAAUUUUUGUUCAGGGAUAAUCUUAUUACAAUUACAAAGGAAAAUAUCUUUAUUGUUGAGAGAUUCAUAUGGAAAUAUUUAGGAUUAAAAUAGUUUGAUAUAUGUAGUUUACCUCAAAAUAGUCUAGGAAAGCAAUUAGUAAAGCAAAUAUGAUGAAAUAUCAAAAAUUGCUAGCAGGUGAUAGGGUUGUUUAUAUUUCCAUUAUCCUACAAAUUAGAAUAUUUUCAUAAUUAAAUAGGAGAAAUUGAGAAAAAUCCUAAUGUGGAGUACCUGCCUUGGCUCAGCGGGUUAAAAACCUGACUCAUAUCCAUGAGAAGGCAGGUUUGACCACUGGCCUCACUCAGUGGUUUAAGGAUCCCGCAUUGCUGAAAGCUACAGCAUAGGUAGUAGGUCUAGCUUGUAUCUUGCUAUGGCUGUAGCAUAGGCAGCUGCAGCUCUGAUUUGACCCCUAGCCUGGGAACUUGCAUAUGCUGCAGAUGUGGCCCUAAAAAGAAAAAAAGAAAUGAAAAAUCCCAAUGCCAAAUACUAACAGGAAAUGAGAAGUUGUGACAUACAAAAGUUCCUAUUAUCAGCAGUAGUUCUGUCUGGGAAUGGAGGAUAUGCAUUUGAUAGACAUAUCACCUUUAUUUAUUUAUUUAUUUAUUUGUCUUUUUGCCUUUUCUAAGCCGCUUCCUGCGGCAUAUGGAGGUUCCCAGGCUAGGAGUCCAAUCGGAGCUGUAGCCGCCGGCCUGCACCAGAGCCACAAAACGUGGGAUCCAAGCCACGUCUGCAACCGACCCCACAGCUCAGGGCAACGCCGGAUUCUUAACCCACUGAGCAAGGCCAGGGAUCGAACCCACAACCUCAUGGUU